Molecule: ribosomal RNA, 205 nt
Filed under: uncultured bacterium
Lineage: Bacteria
Description: partial 16S ribosomal RNA
Rfam family: Bacterial small subunit ribosomal RNA
Source: RNAcentral
CUGCAGUCUGCAACUCGACUGCACGAAGCUGGAAUCGCUAGUAAUCGCGGAUCAGCACGCCGCGGUGAAUACGUUCCCGGGCCUUGUACACACCGCCCGUCACACCAUGGAAGUCGGAAAUGCCCGAAGUCUGUGACCUAACCGCAGGGGGGAGGAGCAGCCGAAGGCAGGUCGGAUGACUGGGGUGAAGUCGUAACAAGGUACC